AUGUUGAUUUUAAGGGAAUUUAAUUUCUCUCUCAUUCUGUCUUUCUCUCUCAGUUGCAGGCCAGCAAGGAGAACGUUAAUAUCCCAGGCUUAAAAGUCGGCUUGCUCAAGUCCAAAUUACAGGAAAAGACAGAACAAUCUCAACAGCUGCAAGAUCAAAUUCUCAAGCAGCGGGAGGCUUUAAGUAGGGCAAGCCAAACUCUCAAAGACACCAGGAAAGCAGCUGGCAAGAAGGGGCUGUCAGUGUGCAGAAGGGGAUGCAGAACUUCAGAGUGUUUCUCGUUCCAGGGAAAACUACUGCACUCCCGGCUCUGCAGAAACACACACAAGGCCAAAGAGCAGAUGAGAGUGACACACACACACACACACACACAAACACACACUCUUCAAGUGCGACACCCCAAACAUCCAUAUAAAGGCCAGCGGAGUCUGUUCCUACACUUCUCACUCACAGCCUUAAAGGUCAGCUAUGUCCAAGUCCUAGCAUUUACGGAUCACAAACACACACACAUAGGCCUAAACCUACCAACACACACAUGCAAGCACGUUCGCCGUGGGGUUGUGACCAUAGCUUGUUUGUUUAUUUAUUCAUGCACUUGAAGUCUCUGUCAGCAGACCGCUUCUCCUCUGCAGGAGGUGAACUGGAGGAUUUGCAAUGUUCUCCGAUCUGAUUAGCAGGGAAUGUCAUGUGACAGCACACGGAUUAUCUUGUUCUGGUAUGAGAGGACUAAAUGUGGAAAGGUACUUUAGAGCCUUAAUUCCAACGUGUAAUAUUUCAUAAUGUCGUACACGCGGGUCUCAGACUGGAUAACUGUUGUCAGGUAGGCGCUUCACAAAGCCUGAGACUUCAUUAAUCCAGGUCUCUGCGAGUUCCUUUGAAAUCAUUUAAAUUCCCUUCAACUCUUUCUGUCUUUUUCGGUGGUUGGAAACUUCCAGUGAUAAAUAAUUAAUGCUCGACUCUUUCGUUUUCUGCCCUCGCUUUCUUUCUUUGAGGUGUGAGGUAAGCUAAAUACACCGGUGGGUUCACAAAGGUAAAGCUUGAGGUAGCUUAAGCGUGACUGCGAGAGAUCGGGAUCAUUUUUAUGUGCCGUUUGAUCUGUGAUGGACCCUGCAUACGCUCGCUAAUUACGAUGGGCUGAGACAGUGUCAUAUCGACCACCCAGAGCUCUCAUCACCUCUGUGAGAGAGAGAAAGAGAGAGAAAGAGAAAUAGAGAGAGAGUUCUAAUCAGCUGCCUCACACCUUCACUUCACACAUCUCACACAGCAACACUCUCUCGUUUUGGGAAAAAUCAGCCAUUUAUUUACCUCAUUGGCUUUGUUUGCUUGGAAGAAAAGCAUUCUGUGGCUUCGUAUUUAAACACUAUAAUGCUUGUCUCACACCACACAUGGACUAAAUGACACACUUUUAUUGCUGUAUUAACAGGUAGCAUAAUUCACAAUGGUACAAAGCAUGCACUGUAGUUUCUUGUAACAUAU
RNAcentral lists this long non-coding RNA (1476 nucleotides) under Danio rerio (zebrafish). RNAcentral describes it as "lncRNA (ENSDARG00000117234.1)". The record is from RNAcentral. Lineage: Eukaryota; Metazoa; Chordata; Actinopteri; Cypriniformes; Danionidae.